Long non-coding RNA from Eriocheir sinensis (Chinese mitten crab), 1605 nucleotides. RefSeq lists it as uncharacterized. The record is from RefSeq and is a predicted model, not a curated record. Lineage: Eukaryota; Metazoa; Arthropoda; Malacostraca; Decapoda; Varunidae. The transcript is spliced from 5 exons.
GGAGGAUUCUGAGGAUGAUAUCAUUAGCCGUUGUUCAAAAAGGAAGAGGAGAUCUCCCAGCAGAUACACUGACCAUGAAAGUUCUGAAGAGGACUGCUUUAGUUCAAGGGCUAAGACAAAAGCUUCCAGCAGUAUCAGGGAUGUGGAGGUAAAAUCCAAAGACCAGAUUGCAAGACCAGUUCCACCUAGGCCAUCUGUACCGAGCUGUAUUGUGUCACAGCCACAGCUACCACCACCUGAGAGUCUGGAUGUAAAUGCCCGAGAUGCAAGAAUCUUUAUGGUGUUGGAAGAACUACGUGCUAUACUGCAUUCCCACUCCACCAAGCUGAAUACUCUCCUCAGACACCACAGUGUGCAAGAACAAGAUCAAGCAGUACCAGAGGGCAUUCACUUCCCUGUGAAGGAUAUGAAUGAAAUGGAAGCCCUAGAAAGCAAACUGAUGGAUCCUGACCUAGAGAAGAAAGUUAUUGCAAGUCUGUAUGUAAUAGGUGGAUCAGGUCUUCCAGACACAGUGAGGCGCAUUCUGCGAUACACUGUGAGCAACUCCUUGGCCAUCCACUUCAAUUGGUGUGGCAAAGGAAUGAAACGGAGCUUUUGCACAAUGAAGCUGAAGGAUACAAUAAUUAAUUUGAGUAUAUUGAAGUUUACUGAGUUAAAGGCAGAUUUCCUAUUGACAGAAAGUGUCCGCAAGAAUGCAGAGCACAAGAGUGCAACAGCUGCCUCAAUUGAAAAAGUAAUGAAGGAGUGGUUUCGAACAGCCAGAGAUCGAGAUGGAGGCCGUCGGAGGAGAGAUGUAAGAACUUGUGAGAGCAGUGAUACUACCUAGACUUUCUGGCAUUGCAUAUUCAAAGUUCUCUCUCUUGCUCUCUCUUUGUGCAUUAAUGCAUCAUAAAAUACUCAGUUUACUGGUACCAUUCCAGGCUUUCAUGCCACAGUGACACCACACAUUCCAGUCUCCCUCCAUGUAUCCUGAAGCUCUCAUCCCACUUCUCCAUUCACCUUAACAUGCACCUGUAUCCCUUUGAUGUGCUUUCACACCUCUUAAUGAUCUACCUGCUCCAUAUGCACACCUCCCGUCACAUUCCACAUAGCCCACAGUCAGUCCUGUUAGAUGCAUUUUCCUCAUUUAUAAAUGCCUGUACCUUAAUUUCAUUCUUUUGGCUGUAAUGUUUCAUCUGUACAUUAGUAGUUAAUUGAAAUGUUGUGGACAGCAUUGCUGUAAUGGAAGCCACUUUUAUUUUUUUAAUUUUUUUUAUAUUUUAUUUUCUUUUUUUUUCUGUAGGAUGUAGGGAUAGGAUUAUUAUGAUAUUAAUUAUGUAAAUACUCAGUUUAGGAAUAGAGCUCAGGAUAGCUAAUGGUAAUUUUGUACUUAACACUGAUGCAAAGAUUAGGCAUUUGUUAUUGCUUGUUUCAAGGGUGCUCGCAGUGUUUUCAUGUUGCUGACUAAUGAUUAAUACUUGUGGUGCUGAGAAUUAUAUUGGUGAAAGAAUACUAAUUGUUCAGUUCUUAAAGAAAUCUUUUUUUGUAGCUACACACAAUGUAUUACCAAAGUGUGUGUGUGUGUGUGUGUGUUUUAGCUGUUCAGUAUUAAAUUGUUUUAAGUUC